GAGAGUUGUCCGUGUGGUUGAAUGAGCAAGCCUGGUAAGCGUGUUAACGCCAAAAGCGUUACGAGGGUUCGAAUCCCUCACUCUCUG
This 87-nucleotide transfer RNA is filed under the name Ignavibacteria bacterium. RNAcentral's name for it is "tRNA-Thr". It matches the Rfam family "tRNA". Rfam says of the family: Transfer RNA (tRNA) molecules are approximately 80 nucleotides in length. Their secondary structure includes four short double-helical elements and three loops (D, anti-codon, and T loops). Lineage: Bacteria; Pseudomonadati; Ignavibacteriota; Ignavibacteria. The record is from RNAcentral.